This is a small nuclear RNA of Psammomys obesus (fat sand rat), 106 nucleotides long. NCBI's taxonomy places the organism in Eukaryota, Metazoa, Chordata, Mammalia, Rodentia, Muridae. The record is from RefSeq and is a predicted model, not a curated record.
GAGAAAGCCUUGUCAUAUAAACUAAUGUUGGAAUGAUACAGAGAAGAUUAGCAUGGCUCCUGUAAAAAAGGGUGACAAGCAAAUUCAGGAAGCUUUUGAUAUUUAU